Molecule: RNA transcript, 2187 nt
Organism: Homo sapiens (human)
Lineage: Eukaryota; Metazoa; Chordata; Mammalia; Primates; Hominidae
Gene: FCGR1BP
Gene name: Fc gamma receptor Ib, pseudogene
Exons: 6
Source: RefSeq, marked reviewed
AAUAUCUUGCAUGUUACAGAUUUCACUACUCCCACCAGCUUGGAGACAACAUGUGGUUCUUGACAACUCUGCUCCUUUGGGUUCCAGUUGAUGGGCAAGUGGACACCACAAAGGCAGUGAUCACUUUGCAGCCUCCAUGGGUCAGCGUGUUCCAAGAGGAAACCAUAACCUUGCACUGUGAGGUGCUCCAUCUGCCUGGGAGCAGCUCCACACAGUGGUUUCUCAAUGGCACAGCCACUCAGACCUCGACCCCCAGCUACAGAAUCACCUCUGCCAGUGUCAAUGACAGUGGUGAAUACAGGUGCCAGAGAGGUCUCUCAGGGCGAAGUGACCCCAUACAGCUGGAAAUCCACAGAGGCUGGCUACUACUGCAGGUCUCCAGCAGAGUCUUCAUGGAAGGAGAACCUCUGGCCUUGAGGUGUCAUGCGUGGAAGGAUAAGCUGGUGUACAAUGUGCUUUACUAUCGAAAUGGCAAAGCCUUUAAGUUUUUCCACUGGAAUUCUAACCUCACCAUUCUGAAAACCAACAUAAGUCACAAUGGCACCUACCAUUGCUCAGGCAUGGGAAAGCAUCGCUACACAUCAGCAGGAAUAUCACAAUACACUGUGAAAGAGCUAUUUCCAGCUCCAGUGCUGAAUGCAUCUGUGACAUCCCCACUCCUGGAGGGGAAUCUGGUCACCCUGAGCUGUGAAACAAAGUUGCUCUUGCAGAGGCCUGGUUUGUAGCUUUACUUCUCCUUCUACAUGGGCAGCAAGACCCUGCGAGGCAGGAACACAUCCUCUGAAUACCAAAUACUAACUGCUAGAAGAGAAGACUCUGGGUUAUACUGGUGCGAGGCUGCCACAGAGGAUGGAAAUGUCCUUAAGCACAGCCCUGAGUUGGAGCUUCAAGUGCUUGGCCUCCAGUUACCAACUCCUGUCUGGUUUCAUGUCCUUUUCUAUCUGGCAGUGGGAAUAAUGUUUUUAGUGAACACUGUUCUCUGGGUGACAAUACGUAAAGAACUGAAAAGAAAGAAAAAGUGGAAUUUAGAAAUCUCUUUGGAUUCUGGUCAUGAGAAGAAGGUAAUUUCCAGCCUUCAAGAAGACAGACAUUUAGAAGAAGAGCUGAAAUGUCAGGAACAAAAAGAAGAACAGCUGCAGGAAGGGGUGCACCGGAAGGAGCCCCAGGGGGCCACGUAGCAGCGGCUCAGUUGGUGGCCAUCGAUCUGGACCGUCCCCUGCCCACUUGCUCCCCGUGAGCACUGCGUACAAACAUCCAAAAGUUCAACAACACCAGAACUGUGUGUCUCAUGGUAUAUAACUCUUAAAGCAAAUAAAUGAACUGACUUCAACUGGGAUACAUUUGGAAAUGUGGUCAUCAAAGAUGACUUGAAAUGAGGCCUACUCUAAAGAAUUCUUGAAAAACUUACAAGUCAAGCCUAGCCUGAUAAUCCUAUUACAUAGUUUGAAAAAUAGUAUUUUAUUUCUCAGAACAAGGUAAAAAGGUGAGUGGGUGCAUAUGUACAGAAGAUUAAGACAGAGAAACAGACAGAAAGAGACACACACACAGCCAGGAGUGGGUAGAUUUCAGGGAGACAAGAGGGAAUAGUAUAGACAAUAAGGAAGGAAAUAGUACUUACAAAUGACUCCUAAGGGACUGUGAGACUGAGAGGGCUCACGCCUCUGUGUUCAGGAUACUUAGUUCAUGGCUUUUCUCUUUGACUUUACUAAAAGAGAAUGUCUCCAUACGCGUUCUAGGCAUACAAGGGGGUAACUCAUGAUGAGAAAUGGAUGUGUUAUUCUUGCCCUCUCUUUUGAGGCUCUCUCAUAACCCCUCUAUUUCUAGAGACAACAAAAAUGUUGCCAGUCCUAGGCCCCUGCCCUGUAGGAAGGCAGAAUGUAACUGUUCUUUUUGUUUAACGAUUAAGUCCAAAUCUCCAAGUGCGGCACUGCAAAGAGACGCUUCAAGUGGGGAGAAGCGGCGAUAUCAUAGAGUCCAGAUCUUGCCUCCAGAGAUUUGCUUUACCUUCCUGAUUUUCUGGUUACUAAUUAGCUUCAGGAUACGCUGCUCUCAUACUUGGGCUGUAGUUUGGAGACAAAAUAUUUUCCUGCCACUGUGUAACAUAGCUGAGGUAAAAACUGAACUAUGUAAAUGACUCUACUAAAAGUUUAGGGAAAAAAAACAGGAGGAGUAUGACACACACAGCAA